AGAGUUUGAUCCUGGCUCAGAUUGAACGCUGGCGGCAUGCUUUACACAUGCAAGUCGAACGGCAGCACGGGGGCAACCCUGGUGGCGAGUGGCGAACGGGUGAGUAAUGCGAUCGGGACGUAUCCUUGAGUGGGGGACUAACGCAGGCGAAAGUUGUGCUAAAUACCGCAUAACGCUCUGAGGAGGAAAGCGGGGGACCGAAAAGGCCUCGCGCGUGUAAGGAGCGGCCGAUGUCCGAUUAGCUAGCUGGUGAGGUAAAGGCUUACCAAGGCGACGAUCGGUAGCUGGGUCUGAGAGGAUGAUCAGCCACACUGGGACUGAGACACGGCCCAGAC
RNAcentral lists this ribosomal RNA (335 nucleotides) under uncultured prokaryote. Its description in RNAcentral is "bacterial SSU rRNA". It matches the Rfam family "Bacterial small subunit ribosomal RNA", at positions 8 to 336 of the family's 1533-position model. The record is from RNAcentral.